This 86-nucleotide transfer RNA is filed under the name Deltaproteobacteria bacterium. Its description in RNAcentral is "tRNA-Ser". It matches the Rfam family "tRNA". Rfam says of the family: Transfer RNA (tRNA) molecules are approximately 80 nucleotides in length. Lineage: Bacteria; Pseudomonadati; Myxococcota; Myxococcia. The record is from RNAcentral.
GGAGAGAUGGCCGAGAGGCUUAUGGCGGCGGUUUCGAAAAUCGCUGAACGAAAGUUCCGGGGGUUCGAAUCCCUCUCUCUCCGCCA